GUAUCAUUAUCAUCCAAAAUGAAUUAAAACGAUCAAAUUUUCUGACGAUAUAGCUGUCGUAGUUUUCGUAAACACCAAUUCCGAGGUCUGUUUUGUUCAUUUAUUAUUACGAAUUCAUAAUAUAUUUUCUAGUGGUUGAGCUCUAUUGACUCUGAUCGUUGGCUCUCUCUCCUCCAUUGACAAGCACAUGCCCAAUUGCCCACUACUCUUCUCUUUCCCUGCACCAGACGCCACUACCCUCUUCUGCAACCGCUCUCACGUCACUCCCCUUCUCUCUCCUCUCUCCUCAGUGAGAUGAGUAGAGAAUAAUAUGCUUGAAGAAGUUGAAACAAUAGGAAUCUCACUGAAAGGUAGACAUGCUUCUUUCCAUCAAUGAUGUUUGUCCUGUCCAACUUAAUGGUGCAUUGAAGAACCUGUAUGUGGUAAUAUAAUUAAAUUUCUUUCUUAUUCUUCAGGGUGAAAACUACGGUAAUUGACAUUACUCCAUAUUGAAAUUAAAAGGUAGAGAUACUGAUUUCAACAGGUCAUGAAUUUCGGGAUUUUCUUUUAUAUAUCUUGUUGAUAGGGUGGCGAAUCUGGCGAUGCAUAAUAUCAUGUAUGUAUGAUAGUGAGUUUGUUGCUGUGAGAUUCAUCGCAAAGAAAGCACACCUGGUAAUCAUUGACCGCUGUUAAACUCCUGAACUGUAUACUGAAUGUAAACACUUACCUAUCUUAUUAACUAUAUUGUUGUCAGAUCAUCCAUUUUUCUCUUUUGGUAAGUGUAAUCUUGUUAAUUGGCUCUAUAGUUGCAUGAGUACAUGAAGCUAAGUGAGAGAUGUCUGAAAAGUGGUAAUUGUGGUACCGGAUAUAUUUUUAGCCAAUUAUCUUAGUUUAAGAUCAGUAUGUAUGCUCUAAUUUCAAAUUCUCUUAAGUAUCUAGCGUGAUGCACUUAUUCUUGCAGCACCACCGUCCAAUUUUCUUGUGCGUGUGGUCUUGCAUUUGCAUCGUCAUGAACAAGCGUGUUAUUGGAUGUGUAAUAAAAUAGGUCGGAUUACUAAUAAUCUGUUGCUUUAAUGUUUUAUUUUUCAUAUAUUAUAUAGCAUUUUAGUGAACGCAAUUUCGCUCAAAUGAUAAUAUGUUUUAUUUCUUAUGUUUGUAUAUCGAGUCAUGACUAAAAUGAUCUCUUUUGUCGUGUCUUUUUCUUUUUGACAAGUUCAUUAGUCAUGUCUUUUUCUUUUUGACAAGUUCAUUAGUCAUGUCCUCCUAGGGAGUUCCCGUGUCUUCUUUUAAAUGAUCCAUGUAUCCAACUACGUAAAUCCGGGUAGCAGGACUGUUAGAGAUUGAAGUUUCAUACCCGACCGGACGUGUUUUCAAGCAUUUGGCAGAGGUAUUCGACUACAUUUUCAAAGGAAAUUCAGUUAAGCUUCUUAAUAGGUAUGUCAUUCCAUUUGUGAAAAACUUUGAUGUUUGGAUCUUUAUUUCUGUCAUUAGAUUUUAUUGUGGGAAGUAAAAGAAUUUGUUAUAUUCUCUCCCUUGAGGCUGAACAAUACGAAUUUGCAUUCUGGCUUUUUGCUUGUGUUAGUUUGGCAGUUUAACGAGUAACGCAUUUAUUUGUAUGAUAUUAAAUAGACAGAUUUCUUAAUGCUGAAUGACAAGAAUGGUUUGUGUGUUC
Cornus florida is the source of this 1651-nucleotide long non-coding RNA. RefSeq lists it as uncharacterized. The transcript is spliced from 2 exons. The record is from RefSeq and is a predicted model, not a curated record. Lineage: Eukaryota; Viridiplantae; Streptophyta; Magnoliopsida; Cornales; Cornaceae.